GAAUAUUGGACAAUGGGCGGAAGCCUGAUCCAGCAAUACCGCGUGUGUGAAGAAGGCCUGCGGGUUGUAAACCGCUUUUGUCAGGGAAGAAAUCUUCUGGGCUAAUACCUCGGGAGGAUGACGGUACCUGAAGAAUAAGCACCGGCUAACUACGUGCCAGCAGCCGCGGUAAU
Molecule: ribosomal RNA, 173 nt
Filed under: uncultured bacterium
Lineage: Bacteria
Description: partial 16S ribosomal RNA
Rfam family: Bacterial small subunit ribosomal RNA
Source: RNAcentral